This 497-nucleotide ribosomal RNA is filed under the name uncultured bacterium. RNAcentral's name for it is "partial 16S ribosomal RNA". It matches the Rfam family "Bacterial small subunit ribosomal RNA", at positions 30 to 523 of the family's 1533-position model. The record is from RNAcentral.
AUUGAACGCUGGCGGCAUGCCUUACACAUGCAAGUCAACGGUAACAGGUCUUCGGAUGCUGACGAGUGGCGAACGGGUGAGUAAUGCAUCGGAACGUGCCCAGUAGUGGGGGAUAGCCCGGCGAAAGCCGGAUUAAUACCGCAUACGACCUGAGGGUGAAAGGGGGGGAUCGCAAGACCUCUCGCUAUUGGAGCGGCCGAUGUCAGAUUAGCUAGUUGGUGGGGUAAAGGCCUACCAAGGCAACGAUCUGUAGUUGGUCUGAGAGGACGACCAGCCACACUGGGACUGAGACACGGCCCAGACUCCUACGGGAGGCAGCAGUGGGGAAUUUUGGACAAUGGGCGCAAGCCUGAUUCAGCAAUGCCGCGUGCAGGAAGAAGGCCUUCGGGUUGUAAACUGCUUUUGUCAGGGAAGAAAUCUUCUGGGUUAAUACCUCGGGAGGAUGACGGUACCUGAAGAAUAAGCACCGGCUAACUACGUGCCAGCAGCCGCCGUAA